Molecule: small nuclear RNA, 100 nt
Organism: Catagonus wagneri (Chacoan peccary)
Lineage: Eukaryota; Metazoa; Chordata; Mammalia; Artiodactyla; Tayassuidae
Source: Ensembl
GUGUGCUCGCACAUAUACUAAAAUUGGAAUGAUACAGAGAAGAUUAGCAUGGCUCCUGUGCAAGGAUGACAUGCAAAUUCAUGAAGCGUCCCAUAUUUUU